Molecule: ribosomal RNA, 468 nt
Filed under: uncultured bacterium
Lineage: Bacteria
Description: partial 16S ribosomal RNA
Rfam family: Bacterial small subunit ribosomal RNA
Source: RNAcentral
GACGAACGCUGGCGGCGUGCUUAACACAUGCAAGUCGAACGGAAAGGCCCUGCUUUUGUGGGGUGCUCGAGUGGCGAACGGGUGAGUAACACGUGAGUAACCUGCCCUUGACUUUGGGAUAACUUCAGGAAACUGGGGCUAAUACCGGAUAGGAGCUCCUGCUGCAUGGUGGGGGUUGGAAAGUUUCGGCGGUUGGGGAUGGACUCGCGGCUUAUCAGCUUGUUGGUGGGGUAGUGGCUUACCAAGGCUUUGACGGGUAGCCGGCCUGAGAGGGUGACCGGCCACAUUGGGACUGAGAUACGGCCCAGGCUCCUACGGGAGGCAGCAGUGGGGAAUAUUGCACAAUGGGCGGAAGCCUGAUGCAGCAACGCCGCGUGCGGGAUGACGGCCUUCGGGUUGUAAACCGCUUUCGCCUGUGACGAAGCGUGCGUGACGGUAAUGGGUAAAGAAGCACCGGCUAACUACGUG